RNAcentral lists this ribosomal RNA (305 nucleotides) under uncultured bacterium. RNAcentral's name for it is "bacterial SSU rRNA". It matches the Rfam family "Bacterial small subunit ribosomal RNA", at positions 333 to 654 of the family's 1533-position model. The record is from RNAcentral.
UUAAUCCUACGGGAGGCAGCAGUGGGGAAUAUUGCACAAUGGGGGAAACCCUGAUGCAGCAACGCCGCGUGAGUGAAGAAGGUUUUCGGAUUGUAAAGCUCUGUUAGCAGGGAAGAGGAAGGACGGUACCUGACUAAGAAGCCCCGGCUAACUACGUGCCAGCAGCCGCGGUAAUACGUAGGGGGCAAGCGUUAUCCGGAUUUACUGGGUGUAAAGGGAGCGUAGACGGCAGAGCAAGUCUGAAGUGAAAGCCCGCGGCCCAACUGCGGGACUGCUUUGGAAACUGCCCGGCUAGAGUGCUGGAG